Molecule: long non-coding RNA, 480 nt
Organism: Struthio camelus australis
Lineage: Eukaryota; Metazoa; Chordata; Aves; Struthioniformes; Struthionidae
Source: Ensembl
UUCUGUGUUUUCUCCCAACGGGGCAGGAGGGAAGCACGGCACGGCACAACUGCGCUGUCGCGGCUCCCUCGCUGCUUCUGCCUGACCGAGGGAGCUGCCCUUGGGGAGCGCGAAGGGGGACGAGGGCGCCUCUCAGCUCCCGAGUGAGGCAGAAUUAGCGCUGCGUCAUGUCCCCCCGGUGUGAAGGCUGGCGCCUUCACCAGGUGGUCGGUGAAGAUGAAAGUUAUUUCUUUACAAAUGCGUGCUGAACUUGCAGCGCAAAUAGGCUGCCUGCAGCUGCUGGUGAGACCCAUGGCCGAAAGAGGAAGCUGUGCUCAAGACAAGCCACCUUCCACGCUGAACCUACAUGCACCAGGAGUCAGAGGCCAAACAGGUCUCUGUUAUCACUCCGGCUCCAAAGUGGCUGUCACUGCACGGCAGGUGGGCUUAAUGCUGUCUUCUGCGGGAGAGAGACGGGCAUCUGCUGCUGAUGCAGUUUAA